This 497-nucleotide ribosomal RNA is filed under the name uncultured bacterium. Its description in RNAcentral is "partial 16S ribosomal RNA". It matches the Rfam family "Bacterial small subunit ribosomal RNA", at positions 28 to 507 of the family's 1533-position model. The record is from RNAcentral.
GAUGAACGCUGGCGGCGUGCCUAAUACAUGCAAGUCGAGCGAACAGACGAGGAGCUUGCUCCUCUGACGUUAGCGGCGGACGGGUGAGUAACACGUGGAUAACCUACCUAUAAGACUGGGAUAACUUCGGGAAACCGGAGCUAAUACCGGAUAAUAUAUUGAACCGCAUGGUUCAAUAGUGAAAGACGGUUUUGCUGUCACUUAUAGAUGGAUCCGCGCCGCAUUAGCUAGUUGGUAAGGUAACGGCUUACCAAGGCAACGAUGCGUAGCCGACCUGAGAGGGUGAUCGGCCACACUGGAACUGAGACACGGUCCAGACUCCUACGGGAGGCAGCAGUAGGGAAUCUUGCGCAAUGGGCGAAAGCUUGACGGAGCAACGCCGCGUGAGUGAUGAAGGUCUUCGGAUCGUAAAACUCUGUUAUUAGGGAAGAACAAAUGUGUAAGUAACUAUGCACGUCUUGACGGUACCUAAUCAGAAAGCCACGGCUAACUACGUG